This 429-nucleotide ribosomal RNA is filed under the name Verrucomicrobiota bacterium. RNAcentral's name for it is "Verrucomicrobia bacterium partial 16S ribosomal RNA". It matches the Rfam family "Bacterial small subunit ribosomal RNA", at positions 355 to 776 of the family's 1533-position model. Lineage: Bacteria; Pseudomonadati; Verrucomicrobiota. The record is from RNAcentral.
UAGGGAAUCUUCGGCAAUGGGGGGAACCCUGACCGAGCAACGCCGCGUGAGUGAAGAAGGUUUUCGGAUCGUAAAGCUCUGUUGUUAAGGAAGAACGAGUGUGAGAAUGGAAAGUUCAUGCUGUGACGGUACUUAACCAGAAAGGGACGGCUAACUACGUGCCAGCAGCCGCGGUAAUACGUAGGUCCCGAGCGUUGUCCGGAUUUAUUGGGCGUAAAGCGAGCGCAGGCGGUUAGAAAAGUCUGAAGUGAAAGGCAGUGGCUCAACCAUUGUAGGCUUUGGAAACUGUUUAACUUGAGUGCAGAAGGGGAGAGUGGAAUUCCACGUGUAGCGGUGAAAUGCGUAGAUAUAUGGAGGAACACCGGUGGCGAAAGCGGCUCUCUGGUCUGUAACUGACGCUGAGGCUCGAAAGCGUGGGGAGCGAACAGG